This 23-nucleotide non-coding RNA is filed under the name Cricetulus griseus (Chinese hamster). Lineage: Eukaryota; Metazoa; Chordata; Mammalia; Rodentia; Cricetidae. The record is from RNAcentral. RNAcentral also lists the same sequence under 1 other name.
UAACCCAGAGGUCGAUGGAUCGA